RNAcentral lists this ribosomal RNA (350 nucleotides) under uncultured bacterium. Its description in RNAcentral is "bacterial SSU rRNA". It matches the Rfam family "Bacterial small subunit ribosomal RNA", at positions 8 to 354 of the family's 1533-position model. The record is from RNAcentral.
AGAGUUUGAUCAUGGCUCAGAUUGAACGCUGGCGGCAGGCCUAACACAUGCAAGUCGAGCGGUAGCACAGGAGAGCUUGCUCUCUGGGUGACGAGCGGCGGACGGGUGAGUAAUGUCUGGGAAACUGCCUGAUGGAGGGGGAUAACUACUGGAAACGGUAGCUAAUACCGCAUAACGUCUUCGGACCAAAGAGGGGGACCUUCGGGCCUCUUGCCAUCAGAUGUGCCCAGAUGGGAUUAGCUAGUAGGUGAGGUAAUGGCUCACCUAGGCGACGAUCCCUAGCUGGUCUGAGAGGAUGACCAGCCACACUGGAACUGAGACACGGUCCAGACUCCUACGGGACGCAGCAG